AAUCAACGCUGGCGGCGUGCCUCAGACAUGCAAGUCGAACGAUUAAAGCUCUCUUCGGAGAGUGUAUAGAGUGGCGCACGGGUGAGUAACACGUAAGUAAUCUACCCUCGAGUGGGGAAUAACAACCGGAAACGGUUGCUAAUACCGCAUAAUGCAGCGGCACCGCAAGGUGACAGUUGUUAAAGAUUUAUCGCUUGAGGAGGAGCUUGCGGCAGAUUAGCUAGUUGGUAGGGUAACGGCUUACCAAGGCUACGAUCUGUAACCGGUCUAAGAGGACGGUCGGUCACACUGACACUGAAUAACGGGUCAGACUCCUACGGGAGGCAGCAGUCGGGAAUUUUGGGCAAUGGGCGAAAGCCUGACCCAGCAACGCCGCGUGAAGGAUGAAGUAUUUCGGUAUGUAAACUUCGAAAGAAUAGGAAGAAUUAAUGACGGUACUAUUUAUAAGGUCCGGCUAACUACGUGCCAGCAGCCGCGGAAUGUCGAUAUCG
This 491-nucleotide ribosomal RNA is filed under the name uncultured bacterium. Its description in RNAcentral is "bacterial SSU rRNA". It matches the Rfam family "Bacterial small subunit ribosomal RNA", at positions 32 to 536 of the family's 1533-position model. The record is from RNAcentral.